This 353-nucleotide ribosomal RNA is filed under the name Incisitermes banksi. Its description in RNAcentral is "partial large subunit ribosomal RNA". The stretch from base 1 to 199 matches the Rfam family "Archaeal large subunit ribosomal RNA", at positions 1904 to 2143 of the family's 2987-position model. The record is from RNAcentral. Lineage: Eukaryota; Metazoa; Arthropoda; Insecta; Blattodea; Kalotermitidae.
AACAUCUCUUCUUGUUAUUUUUAUUUGAAGUAUAGUCUGCCCACUGAUAUUAUUGAAGGGCCGCGGUAUUUUGACCGUGCAAAGGUAGCAUAAUCAUUAGUUCUUUAAUUGUGAACUGGCAUGAAUGGCUUGACGAGGCGCCGUCUGUCUUUAUUUAGGGAUUAUUUGUUGAAUUUGGUAUUCGGGUAAAAAUACCUGAAUUUUGUUAUGGGACGAGAAGACCCUAUAGAGUUUUAUAUAAUUUUUUCUGUUUGGUUUGAUUUUUGAUUGAUGAAUAUAAUUGUAUUUUGUUGGGGUGAUGGGAGAAUAUAGUUAACUUCUCUUUUUAGUAUUUCAUUUAUUUAUGUUUUUGU